This 178-nucleotide non-coding RNA is filed under the name Clostridium sp. CAG:1024. Its description in RNAcentral is "6S / SsrS RNA". It matches the Rfam family "6S / SsrS RNA". Rfam says of the family: E. coli 6S RNA was the first non coding RNA to be sequenced, but its function was unknown until recently. It consists of 184 nucleotides that fold into an extended hairpin structure with a large single-stranded internal bulge. Lineage: Bacteria; Bacillati; Bacillota; Clostridia; Eubacteriales; Clostridiaceae. The record is from Rfam by way of RNAcentral.
AGUAUCCUGGGGUGUGCGUCACAUCUUCGGCUAUAAACCCUCACGAUUUUGCCGGGAGUAUCUGUUGGCAGGUGAAUGGUCAAGCUCGCUGCGGGCGAGAAGACCGGAGCCGCCACAAUGCACCCACCUGCCUUUGGGCGGGUAUUAUAGCAAGGAUGAACGGCACCACGGGAUUCUU